GUGCUCGCUCGGGCAGCACAUGUACUAAAAUUGGAACGAUACAGAGAAGAUUAGCAUGGCCAAUGGGAAAAAAAAGAAAGAAAAAAACUGAAGAGGUAAAUGAUUCA
This is a small nuclear RNA of Lemur catta (Ring-tailed lemur), 107 nucleotides long. The record is from RefSeq and is a predicted model, not a curated record. NCBI's taxonomy places the organism in Eukaryota, Metazoa, Chordata, Mammalia, Primates, Lemuridae.